UACGAAGGGGGCGAGCGUUGUUCGGAAUUACUGGGCGUAAAGGGCGCGUAGGCGGCGACUCAAGUUAGAUGUGAAAGUCCUGGGCUUAACCUGGGGACUGCAUUUGAUACUGGGUUGCUUGAAUUCGGGAGAGGAUAGCGGAAUUCCCAGUGUAGAAGUGAAAUUCGUAGAUAUUGGGAAGAACACCGGUGGCGAAGGCGGCUAUCUGGACCGACAUUGACGCUGAGGCGCGAAAGCGUGGGGAGCAAACAGG
This 253-nucleotide ribosomal RNA is filed under the name uncultured bacterium. RNAcentral describes it as "partial 16S ribosomal RNA". It matches the Rfam family "Bacterial small subunit ribosomal RNA", at positions 524 to 776 of the family's 1533-position model. The record is from RNAcentral.